UGUCAUAGUGUAGUCGUCUGCUGAUGC
This 27-nucleotide small RNA is filed under the name Bombyx mori (domestic silkworm). RNAcentral describes it as "piRNA piR-bmo-2213976". The record is from RNAcentral. Lineage: Eukaryota; Metazoa; Arthropoda; Insecta; Lepidoptera; Bombycidae.